AUGAUAUUGCAGCAAAUGUGUUCUUCCUCACAGCACGCACGGGUGGCUGCUCGGGUGCUCUUGCUGCUUUGCUCCUGCACGCUGUUACUCAGAGGAGCCCAAGGGGGAGAGUCUGGCAAGCUUUACAUAGCCUACCUAGGCGACGUGAAGCACGGGCACCCGGAUGAUGUGAUCGCCUCCCACCAUGACAUGCUCACCAAUUAA
RNAcentral lists this ribosomal RNA (204 nucleotides) under Triticum aestivum (bread wheat). RNAcentral's name for it is "partial small subunit ribosomal RNA". The record is from RNAcentral. Lineage: Eukaryota; Viridiplantae; Streptophyta; Magnoliopsida; Poales; Poaceae.